CGAUGAUGGGCUUUUCCUACUGUUUAACUUGUUUCCACCUUCAGUCGCCAGAUAACCAAAAUAAUGUCCACUAUCGCAAACUGGAAAAGAUGAACGUCUCUUCUGUCCUUUAUUAUUACCAUUAUUAUUAUCGAACAGGGUUGGCCGUUGAACAGAUGAACUCGCUUGCUGUUUCAAGUUGUACGAUGAAAUAUGAGGUGGAGAAGAUGAAGGUGACGAUUGCGACGAAGAGGUUACUGAUGGCUUUAAAAGUGACGGACAUUUCAGGUGAAUCAAUGAGCUUGAUAAAUGAGCAGAAUGAGAUGAUACAUCUGGUUCAGGAAAACUGGAAUCUUCAUUCUCCGAGACUGUCCCAUGAAGGAAGACCAAUGCUGCUGCAGCCAGUUCACAUCCAGUAUAAAUUCCAAUGCAACCUGGAGCUGAACCGCGACGACCUCGGCAAAAUUGUGCCUAAAAAGACAAAAGAAACAAACAAAAUUGAUAAAUUGUUGGCAAAUGAAAAGGAAAACAAAACCAGAUUAAAAAGCAAAAUGCUCAUCACCACCGAUAUGCCUGUCUAAAUUGAUAAAAAAGUAACUUAAUGGACACGAUUGAUUGAUUCAAUACAAUGAGAUGAAAUUGUCAAUUAACCUUUUAAGAUGGAUUUCAUGAUUCAACCAUUUAACAGAUGAAAGGUUUAAUUUAGCUGAUUGUUGUUCCAUAUGAUUUUUGUUUUGACUCUUCAGAAGGUUUCUUUUUGUUUUCCUGUCAAGAUCAAUUAACUCAUUGACUAAAUUCAGGUUAAUUUAAUUGAUUUUCAAUUUUAAAUUCAUUAAUUCAAUGCUCCUGCAAAAAGGUGCCUUUCAGAUUGACGUUAAAUGCUCUGGUUAAUUCAAUUGUUGAAACAUUUAUAAGUCAAUUUAAUCCAACUUUAAUCUUGUUGUGAGUCUUGAGCAAUGAAAAAACACAACAAACUCAAAAUAUAUUUUAUAUUGAAAUUAAGUUUUGGGUAAAAAAUCAAACAAUGUUGCCAAGUUAAAUAAAGCUAUUUAAUCUUUACCCAAAUUUGUAUCAAUUUAAUGGAUAAUACAAUUGUUAUUUAGCCUUAUUUUCAGCCUCUUUUCCUGCUCAUCUUCAUAAUCAUCUUGCGUUUUACAUCCAAGUAAUUAUAAUUAAAUUUGUUCAACAACUAAACCUAAAAAGACAAGCAAUUUAACAUUGAUCAGCAUUUCUUUUCAUUCUCAAUGUAAAUACAUUAAGCUGAUUUCACCUCAUCAUUAAACUUGCCAAGCUUUUAAAACCUGUAAAUGUAUUAAAAUGAAAGAUUAACUUUGAAUAUUUA
Long non-coding RNA from Tetranychus urticae (two-spotted spider mite), 1321 nucleotides. RefSeq lists it as uncharacterized. The record is from RefSeq and is a predicted model, not a curated record. NCBI's taxonomy places the organism in Eukaryota, Metazoa, Arthropoda, Arachnida, Trombidiformes, Tetranychidae.